UUACAUACGAAAGUGUAAAACGUGUAUGGCGAACAUUUGUUUUUCUGUCAUUAUAGAUGCUAGUUUGGUAAAAGUACACACUGAGUGCUUCAAAUCAUUCAGAAGAGAUGCUGUUUUUAGGGCAGUUUAUAAAGAAGACCUGACAUGGAUGACUUCCAAUGAGAAACGACUGCUAAUACUUAUAUAAAUUCAUUACAGAAGGACCCUACCAGACUAUAUUUGAAUACGGCAUACCCAUGAAUUCUGAACUGUUAUUCCUUAACCCAGUUUGGAGGAUAAGAGCUUACCAACUAUAAAUAUGCUGAGGCGAUGUAUUGCAAAAUAGCCAACAUACAACAAUUAAAGGAUAAUUGCAGACUACGUCCUGAUGAAGAUAUGGAUGACCCUCUGUCUGGUCAACAAUAGUUUAAAUAUGGAUGGGACAGUGAUGUGGCAGCUCUUCCCUGGCUCAUUCACCUCUUGCCUUCAUUUGUGAAAGGAAGAAAGACUGGAGAGGGUCAAUGUGCAACUGAAGCUACUGAUUGUGCUGUGUGAUGAGCAUCAAUCCAUGCUUUGAGGUGGAUGGAUCAGCACAGCCCUGCCUGCUCUGCGUUGGGAACAGAAGUUGCAUCCAGAGUUUUUGCAUCAUUCUGGACCAAAAAGCCAUUCCCUGCAUGAUGAAGACCACUGAUGCAGCCUUCCACUACAUCAUGAGUAAAACAACUACAGAACUUAAUACCAGGUUGGAAUGUAUUUAAGAAAAAUGAAACGUCUUUUGAAUUGAAAUGUCUGUUUUGUUAUGGAAAAAUCUUUAGUAUUGUGAAGGAUAAGCAUUUCUGCUUGCCGAUAAGGUAAUUGCAGUGUAUUUUAAUAUUCAAGUUUUGAGUAGGGUGGCAAAUUUUUUUUAACUCUCAUUUGAUUUAUUAAAGACUUUAUAAUAAGUGGUUUUCAUGUCACUGCGCUGUGGUAUAAGAUAACUUUCAUUAUUCCAUAUUGUAUUCUGUUUCUAAUUGUAGCUGAGGUAUUUAAAUAAGCAGUGUUAAAUGCAAAGUGUUGUGUGUAUCAAUGUAAAUAUUAAAUGUGAUGUACUUUAAUAAAAAGAGGUUUUGCAAUA
This is a non-coding RNA of Misgurnus anguillicaudatus (oriental weatherfish), 1093 nucleotides long. The record is from RefSeq and is a predicted model, not a curated record. Lineage: Eukaryota; Metazoa; Chordata; Actinopteri; Cypriniformes; Cobitidae.